Molecule: ribosomal RNA, 375 nt
Filed under: Rhizophagus aggregatus
Lineage: Eukaryota; Fungi; Glomeromycota; Glomeromycetes; Glomerales; Glomeraceae
Description: eukaryotic LSU rRNA
Source: RNAcentral
UUGAAAGGGAAACGAUUGAAGUCAGUCGUACCAGCGGGAAAUCAACCUUUCGUGUGGGGGUUUUGGAGUUUUGAAGAGUGUCAAAACCUUUGAGAUUUCAAAAUUUUCGCUCCUUUGGUGUACUUUCUCGUGGGUAGGUUAACAUCGAUUUUGAUCAUCAUAAAAAGAUUGGAGGAAUGUAGCUUCGAUCUUGUAUUGAAGUGUUAUAGCCUUUGGUAAAUGUGAUGAUUAGGAUCGAGGAUUGCAACGAAUACCCUUUUGGGCUAUCCGCCUGAUCUCUGAUACGUGGCCUUGGUAUCGAAAGCGUGCUUAUGGUAUUGAGGUAUUACGGUCAAAAGGUUAGAACGGAUUACAUUCGUUAAGGAUGUUGACGUA